AGAGGAGGGCCAAUGUGCAAAUGUGGCAGCUCAGAGUGGGGAACAAAAUCCCUAGCCGAAGCACUUGAUCCCUUUGGGCCUGGCAACACCUCUCCUUCCCCCAUCUCCUUCUCCACCACCGACCGCCGCCACGGCGAGGCCGGUGUGGUGGUGCGCCUCCGCCACCCAUCCAUCUAUCCAUCACCGGUGCCCCACACCACCAGCGCCCAUCUCGCCUGCCGUACCCACGUGCCUCCACCUGCUGCUGAUUCUCCUUGCCACUCCCUUCGCCUACCUCGCUGUUGUUCUUCUUCCCGAUGUCCUCCCUGCUACCCUUCUGCUUCUCCCCGGCUUCCCCUCUCAUCACGUCCCUGCUGCUGCACUUCUUCUCUCCCAACGCUACUGCUGCUACUACGCUCUGCUGCUCCCUCUUGCUAACCUGUUGCUACUUCUUGCUUUACCCUACUGCUGCUCUACUUCUCUCAUCACAACUACUCCUCCUCCUCUCUAACCCCUGCUGCCUCUAUCUCUUCUCUGAACCUCCUUUGUUGCUGCCUCUUCUCUCCUCUGCUGUUGGCUUGAGAUUUUUGUAAGCGGAGAUGUGUUAAACUUUGUAAGGUUCAGAUUUUAAGUAGUGCUUGAAACUUGUUCAGUUUCAGACUUGUGCUUGAUUAAUAGUACUUAUUUUGUUCAUUUCAGAUUACUGGAAUUAACUCCCCCUGUUUUCAUAUGUGUUAUAUGUGUACUGUAGCGCUUGUGUUAACUUUGUUCAUGUGAAAACAUAUAUGUUUGUGUUGUGAUAUAAUUUUGUCCCUAUCAUAUUAGCUUGUUUCUUUCCUUCUGUCAUUACUAGUUAUAUAUGUGUUUGUGUUUGUGUUGUGAGAGUUGUACUGUUACAUUGUGACUCUCAUUUAGAAUGUAUGAGUACUAGAUAUAUAUGUCAUAUAUAUUCUGUUCAUGUUUAAUAGUUAUAUGUGUUCUUGUCUAGCAGCUUUCCCUAAUAUUUGUGCUAGUGUUUUAGAUUCUCGGGUAUAAUGAAAAUACCAAAAAGAUAUUGAGUAAAAUCUGAAUUUCCCUUUGUUGUUUGUCGUUUUCUUUGCCAACGAUCUUCGGGAACAACCUGGUUAGUUUAGGUUUUAUUUUCUGCAAUCAUCUCUUAAAAUUGUGUUACCUAGCUUUAGUCGAGCACCGCCGCUGAUUUUCCUAGUCCUUGAGGAGAACACGACAUCCGUAGUUUUGGGCGUAAAAACCCCACUAUACUCACAACCGAUCAUUUUUGCGUCGUUGCCGGGGACUAGCGUCGAGUGACCGUGCUAGGCUAUAGACUAGGUUUUUCUUCUUUUCCUAGUUUGUGCUAUAUAUGUGAUAUAUCUCUAACUCCUAACCUUUGUUCUAGUUUAUUUCCUCUUUGUUUUCUUUUCCUUUUUGCAGGCUAGAACCAUCUUCUCGGUUAUGGCCUACUAUUCAGAUCACCAUGGAUAUGCGAGCAACACUACAAAUAGCACGGAAAGUAUUCAAGAACUGAUAAGUAAGAUUUCCCAUCGAUUAGAUGAUUUAGCUUGGCAGCGAGAAGUAGUUUUUGAGGAUAGGCCUAGCUCUUAUGAUCCUUAUUCUAGAGGCCAUCCUUAUGUUGCUCCUACCUGCCAUAUUUGUGGAUUUCAGGGCCAUUCGCCCCCUGAAUGUCAGUGUGGUUACUCUUGCCCUCUAGAUUGUUUUGGCAUGAGCUUUGCUCAAGAGCAUAGCUCAUACCAAAACAAUUACUCACAUGGGUGGCCUGAAAACCCGAAUAUGUCAUAUAGGAGCAACAACCCUGAGAUCUCAUCAUUUCCCUCUAGUUAUCCAAUGCAAGGAUUUAGGAAUGAAGAGGAGAGCAACAAUUAUGCUCCACAACAAUUUUAUUCUGCUCCUAUUCAUAUACCUCAGCACCAGGAGAUGUUGCCAAUGGAGUUAAAUGGUCCUCCAUUUGGUCAACCAACACCUUCUACACAAGUGCCCACACAAGAUGACUUUGCUGAUAUAGACAAGCUCACAUUGCUUAGUCUCGAGUUCACUUGGAGUGCUGAAGAUGAUCCAAUUAGGCUGGUGAUACUAGAUGAAAUGAAGAAGAUCAAGAGUGGGAAUGAGCUAGUGGAAGAAGUAAGGAAGAUUGAGAAGAACAUCAAUGCUGGCAGCACUAUUUCUUCGCAGCUAGAGCUGAGUAUUUCUGGGAUAUCCCUUGAUACAUGUGAGGUCCCAACACCUUCACAUUCAGCUGAGCAAUAUAGCGAGAGUCCAGAGGAAGAGAUACUUCAGAUCCAAGAAGAAAUUCUCAAAGCCAAGGCACAAGAUGAUCCAGAGCUCGAAUACCCAAAUGAACAAGUUGAAGAUCCAAUGUCUACUACUUCCGAAGAAGUAAAAGAAGCUGUUGUAGAUGAAGAUGAAGAACCUGAGAUUCAUUUGCCUAUUGUCAUACAAGAGAGUGAUGUGUCAGGUUCAUUCAAUCCUCUUAAUGACAUGUCCCAUUAUGUUUUGUUUGAUUCUACCUUGCUUUACAUGAUGCCAUCACUUAAGGUAGAUUUGAGGAAGUGUUUGCUUGGAUAUGAUGAUACUUAUACCGUUGAUGGCAUUGCUCAUACUAAUGAUGAUCACACUUAUUUUCCUCAUGCCAAACCUAUGCUUAAUGAUAAAUAUCAUCUGAAUGCUAGUAUUGAGCUUGUUGAUUCCUAUCAUACUCGUCAUGUUCUAUAUUCCUAUGUUUAUAUAAUUGGAUACUCGAUUGGCGACUUAGAGGGCAUCGACCCUAUCACUCGUAGUUGUUGUUUGUGUGAGUCCUAUUUCAGGUUUUUGCUUGUGCACGAAUCAAUAUAUGUUGACCAGGUUCGAGGUGACAUCCCUUGGGAUCCCGGUGGAGUCAGAGCAUGGCGAUGAGGAGAAGCAAAUGGGCACACAUAUGGAAGAGAGGAGCUGGAGCAUGCACGAGGAAGCAAAAGGAGAGGAGUCGCAAUGCAAGAGGAUGUGAGAUGAUCGAGUGAGUGCUACAUGAUCAAAACCCGGUGAGCUUUUUCAUGUCCCCAAUCUGAAUAUAUCAUCCAUUGAUACAUGCUGAAAUCAAUUGCUAUUUGGGUUGCUUGAGCCAUUUCUUAAACAUUGUCCCACUGAAUUUUACCUUUAACAUAUGGUGCUUGAUGAGAAUAUGCGAACCGAUUGUUGAAUGCCUUGUAAACUAGUGAUCGACACCCCAUUUGCUUUGCUGAAAGUAGUGAAAGCUAUUAGUUUUGAGUGCUCAAAUCCCUAGUGCAGUAGUAAACUUAAUCAUUUUCUGUCUUUACCUUGAUACCCUUAGAUCAUUAAGUGUUAGAUGAUGAGUUCGUGUCUAUUGUGUUCCCAUUGAGAGCAAUCACUUUACCACUAUGGACUAGUAUGCUAUGUUCCCUGGAUCAGUAGCAUGCGAACUAGACAUGGAGAAGUGAUGAUUCCUGUUUUUGUGCUUAUGCGUUGUUCAUUUAAGAUAAGUAAUAAUGAAUAAAUAAGUAUGAAUACCUACAGUAGCAUGUCAUGUUCCCUGGAUCGGUGGCAUGUGAAAUCGGGUUAGCUUGGGCAGUAAUUAAUAAUACAAAUUGUAAUUGUCAAACCAGGUGUAUACCAUGUUCUCUGGAUCGGUGGUUUGUUCCUUUGGGGAGACAAAAAAAACUAAUAAUUGGUCGAGCCGGGUGUAUACCAUGUUCUCAGGAUCGGUGGUACGUUCCUUUGGUGAGAUCGAUAUAAUAUUAUCAUUGCUUUAUUUCUAUAAAUAAGUGAUCCGAUCACAAGUUUAUGUUCUUUUUGUUCUCGGGAUCAUGCUCUCUUUAGGAACCUUUGGCACAAUCAUCAUUUGAACUAGUUGAUCUUCUUUUAUCAUUGUAAAAGUUUAAAAUGGUCAAGUCUACUAGUAUCCUACCACUUUGAAGCACUCCUAACCAUUAAUUUUCACUAGUGAAGUCCAAAGCAUGCACUGUUUAGAGAUCUACUUCACUUGGCAAUCUCUAGUCAGCUCACUAUUCACAUUCUUGCUCUUGUCAUAUGCCUUUGCUUGAGGACAAGCAAAAGUUUAUGUGUGGGGGAACUUGAUAAGCACAUUUCAUAUAUACAAUUUUGGCAUAGAAAUAUAUUAUUUGUUGAGUUUUCACAAUCAAUUCUUGCUAUGAAUUAUUGCAUAUUUGAAUGAAAAUCAUAUAAAGGGAUCAUUUACUUGUUACUUGUUCCUUUUGCAGAAAAGUGCGCAAAGCCACUAUAAUCGUCAAGAUUUCUACUAUGUGGCUAACGAGAAGAGAGAAGGGCAUGAAAGAAAUGCGUCAAGGACCUGAGCGUGAAGGAAAGAAGUAAUCUAGGGGAGCAAACUAAAAGAAGAGGAGGAUCUUCUUGGGCAGAAAUGAAGAUAAGAGGAGGGCCAAUGUGCAAAUGUGGCAGCUCAGAGUGGGGAACAAAAUCCCUAGCCGCAAAACUUGAUCCCUUUGGGCCUGGCAACACCUCUUCUUCCCCCAUCUCCUCCUCCACCACCGGCCGCCGCCACGGCCAGCCGGUGUGGUGGUGCACCUCCGCCACCCAUCCAUCUAUCCAUCACCGACGCCCCUCACCAGCAGCGCCCAUCUCGCGUGCCGUACCUGCAUGCCUCCACCUGUUGCUGAUUCUCCUUGCUGCUCCCUACGCCUACCUCGCUGUUGUUCUUCUUCCCGACGUCCUCCCUGCCGCACUUCUGCUUCUCCUCUGCUUCCCCUCUCCUCACGUCCCUGCUGCUGCACUUCUUCUCUCCCAAUGCUACUGCUGCUACUGCGCUCUGCUGCUUCCUCUUGCUAACCUGCUGCUACUUCUUCUCUUUACCCUACUGCUGCUCUACUUCUCUCAUCACAACUGCUGCUCCUCCUCUGUAACCCCUGCUGCCUCUAUCUCUUCUCUGAACCUCCUUUGUUGCUGCCUCUUCUCUCCUCUGCUAUUGGCUUGAGAUUUUUGUAAGCUGAGAUGUGUUAAACUUUGUAAGGUUCAGAUUUUAAGUAGUGCUUUGAACUUGUUCAGUUUCAGACUUGUGCUUGAUUAAUAGUACUUAUUUUGUUCAUCUCAGAGUACUAGAAUUAACUCCCCCUAUUUGCAUAUGUGUGAUAUGUGUCCUGUAGCGCUUGUGUUAACUUUGUUCAUGUGAAAACAUAUAUGUUUGUGUUGUGAUAUAAUUUUGUCCGUAUCAUAUUAGCUUGUUUCUUUCCUUCUGUCAGUGCUAGUUAUAUAUGUGUUUGUGUUUGUGUUGUGAGAGUUGUACUGUUACAUUGUGACUCUCAUUUAGAAUGUAUGAGUACUAGCUAUAUAUGUCAUAUAUAUUCUGUUCAUGUUUAAUAGUUAUAUGUGUUCUUGUCUAGCAGCUU
RNAcentral lists this long non-coding RNA (5348 nucleotides) under Triticum aestivum (bread wheat). RNAcentral describes it as "long non-coding RNA (TAES_LNC025711)". The record is from RNAcentral. Lineage: Eukaryota; Viridiplantae; Streptophyta; Magnoliopsida; Poales; Poaceae.